RNAcentral lists this ribosomal RNA (3214 nucleotides) under Achlya hypogyna. RNAcentral describes it as "eukaryotic LSU rRNA". The stretch from base 1938 to 2927 matches the Rfam family "Eukaryotic large subunit ribosomal RNA", at positions 1889 to 3399 of the family's 3401-position model. The record is from RNAcentral. Lineage: Eukaryota; Oomycota; Saprolegniomycetes; Saprolegniales; Achlyaceae.
CGCGGGCGGCGUGGCGAAGUCGUCGAGUCGAUCCUCUGCAACGAGGCGGGUCGCGGCGAAGACUGGUGGAAGCACAACCAAUGCGUCGAGCCCGAGCAACCUGAAAUUAUGGGCCUUCGAGUUCGCGCUGACUAUCGAAAAUGUACAGCAAGUUCGCAUGCCUGUGAGGUUCUUUCUCGGGGCCCUGCCUUGGCCGGCAUUUCGGCGUCCACGUCGGAGAUGACGGACCACACGAGGUGCAUGGACGUCAGACGGCCAUCGUAGAGCGGCGUCGGGCACGCUGCUCGCCAGGCCGUUGGCAUCGGCUUGUCAUGCAUCGAGUCAUCGAGUCUCUCACGACUACGUCGCUGUUCUUUCCCAUUGCCGUGAACGCUGCGAGCCAUAAAGGCACCAACUACCUCGAUGUCGGCGUGUGCUUCCCCGUGGACGCCAACAUCGCCAACGCCUACGCGUUCGCGAUCCCCAUGGGUGACCAGUCGGGCAUGGGCGAGAACUUCGCUAGCACGAUCGUCAGCUACCUCGGGGCGCUCUGCCCCAGCGCCAUUCCAAGACUUUCAGCAUUGCGACUGACGGCACAACCAACGUGACGGGUAAGCUCAAGGGGUUUGGCCUGCGCUCCGAGGCCGCCAACCAGAACAGCGUGCUGCACCUCGUAUAGUGCGUGAGGGGGCGUCGAUCUGGCCAUAUUGACAGUGGUGGUGCGUAGUGGUGUGGCGGGCGGUGCCACUGAUUGGUACUUUUUUGUUGUAUUUCCAGCGUGAGCGCUCACGGCUAAACCAGCGUAAAAAACGUCAAUUAUUGCGCAACUUUCUACCCUAGUGGCGUUGUGCUGAGGAAAAUGACGAUAGACUCGUAGCUCUUGGGAAGGCUCUGGAGAAUACAAAUGGCCACGUCUUCUUCAGCCAUGGCGGCGCCCAUAGCAGUCAGUUGCGCUUGGAUGUUGAGAGCCUCGUUGCAGUGCGUCAUGAUGUUGACUCCUCCUUGCAUCUUGAGGCCGAAGAGUUGCUUCUUGAAAAAUGUGCGUCCGACACGGCUUUGCGUCCCGUUUAAAAGACGCAGUUCGAUCCACGCCUCCCUAGCAAAGUUGGUACCAGCGAUGACAUGGUGGUGGUACUCGGGCUUCAUGUGAAGCAGCAUGCGGCCAAGAGCAAUGUUGUUCCCGCGCAUGAAUUCAGCGCGAUCGUUGUCGAAGAUUUUUCCAAGCAACAGGUAUGAAGUUGAACGUCACGAAACACUGUUUAUGCCUUCCUGACUAAAUAGUAUUGAUGAGGCAAUACGACGACAGCGCAUUCUCCCAUAACGGCCAGGAUCAAUGCAUGGGCAUUAAUAUUGAAGCAAAAGCACUUUUCAAGGUUAUUGACCUGCAUUGUAGCAUUGGGUUCAAACAUCUUGUGGUAUUGUGUUCUGAAUACACCACUCACUGUUAAGCUUGAAGAAGUUAUCGUCAUCAUUAUGCACUGUGAACCGAAGCUCGGAUGUGACCAUGUUAGUGCAGAAAAAACAUUUGUAGUGUAGCUCGUACUAAUCCCUUGUCCAAAUCAAAUACGUGGCGCUAUUUAUCACCUUUGGAUCCCAGCGUAGAAAUUUGAUUGUUAUGACUCCACUUGUACGCGGAUAUCCUUAGUAACUCUAGUCCAUUUAAAUGAUACGUGACCAUUUCUAUGAUUGAGCUGAUAAGAAAAGGCUCUUCAGAAUUAGAAAGAAAUAUUCCUAUUCUAUUACAAGUUUUCAGCACGCUUCUCUUCAUAUGUGUAUCCGUAUCUCACCUACUUGUUUGCUACUUAUAUCCAUUACUUAAUGCCUUCAUAUAUGUUGACACCUUUACUUUUAGAGGGUCCUGCGCUCACGAAGGCCCUUGAAAAUUGAUGAGAGAUUUAUUCGCACCCUCGUUCGUACUCAUAACCGCAUGAGGUCUCCAAGGUUAGCAGCCUCUAGUUGAUCGAAGAAUGUAGAUAAGGGAAGUAGGCAAAAUGGAUCCGUAACUUCGGAAAAAGGAUUAACUCUGAGAGUUGGGUAUGGACUCGUUUUCAGGAGCUUUGAUGGCCUACAAUGGAGUGAGUCAGACCUCUUGGGAAUUGACAUGACCCGUUGGUUGGGCUGCCUUGGUUAUACUAGAGAAUUGUGUAUGCGAUGAAUAACUAACUCAAAACUGGAGCGGACAAGGCGAAUUUUAAUAUUUAGUUAGAACAAAGCAUUGUGAUUGCCGGAGACGGUGUUGACACAAUGAGAUUUCUGCCCAGUGCUCGAAAUGUUAAAGUGAAGAGAUUCAACAAAGCACAAGUAAACGACGGGAGUAAUAAGAACUCUCAUAAAGUAGCCAAAUGCCUCGGUAUCUAAAUAGUGAUGAGCAUGAAUUAAUUAAUCAAAUUCCCACUGUCGCUAUCUACUGUAUAGCGGUCCCACAGCAAGAAGAACGGCUUGGAAAAAUUAGCGCGGGAAGAAAACCCUGUUGAUCUUGACUCUAGUCUGACGUUGUGAAAAACCUUAAGAGGUGUGAAAUAAGUGGGAGCUUUGGCGCAAGUAAAAUACCACUACUUCUCAUGUUGUUUUACUUAUUCCAUUUUGUUAAAUGAGAACACUGGUGUGUGUCCUAUAGUAUGCUCAUUGAGAACACAAACCUCAUGUAGAACAAAAGGGCAAAAGCUCACUUGAUUUUGAAUUUUAGUGUGAAUACAAACCGUGAUAGCGAGGCCUUUCGAUCCUUUAGUUCUUUAAAAUUUUAAGCUAGUUAAAAAAGUACACGGAUAACAGAAUUGUUGCAGCCAAGCGUGCAUAGCGAUGUUGCUUUUUGAUUCUUCGACGUCGGCUCUUCCUAUCAUUGUGAAGUAGAAUUCGCCAAUUUUUUUAUUGUUCAUCCACUAAAAGGGAACGUGAGCUGGGUUUAGACCGUCGUAAGACAGGUUAGUUUUGCCCUAAUGAUGAGUCCGUGGUCUAAGUGUUAAAAUGUCUUUUCUUAAUGUAAAAAGAAUGUUCCACCAUCUGAGUUGUCUCGUGAGCAGUGGGUGAAAUGUCUUCAGAACUCCAGGCGUAUCGGUAUCGUAAUGCCAGUGCAUUCUGCUGGAGUCGAAACUUAAUGUCGCGGAAUACUGGGAGUAGUGAUCGAUUCAGUGACCGUUAGGUUUUCAAGCUUGGUUUGAAGGUUGUAUGUGUAGGCCUAGUUGUCGUAAAGGCAACCCGGGUGGUUUUGGUUUGUGAAGAGUUCUGUACAACCAUU